CGUUGGAAGCGUGUGCCUCCUGCUGGCAUCGUCCGGCUAGUGAUCCAUAUCAAGUGUAGCAAGAAUACCUCCGGCAUCAACAGCGUUAGCCGCGUACGCCGUACACCUAGGAGUUACUAUCGUUGAACAGCUAAAUUGAGCGAUUUCUGCUGCUGUUUCGUUCGCAAACUACGUAUAUACGUUUCCUAUUGUUUUGGUAAGAGUUUUUCGUUAAUUUUCGCUUCCUAGAUUAAGUUGGGAUCGGUUGAUCAUGAAGGAUUAGGACGCGCGCUGCAAUGUGAUGAUGGUACUUUUUUUCCGUGUAGAACUACUAUAUUUUUAACUUUUAUACGAAUAGGUGCUUAUUUAUCGAAAGUUUAUUAUAGGCAACGACUUUGGUCUGGCA
Aedes aegypti (yellow fever mosquito) is the source of this 385-nucleotide long non-coding RNA. RefSeq lists it as uncharacterized. The record is from RefSeq and is a predicted model, not a curated record. NCBI's taxonomy places the organism in Eukaryota, Metazoa, Arthropoda, Insecta, Diptera, Culicidae. The transcript is spliced from 2 exons.